CCUACGGGAGGCAGCAGUGAGGAAUAUUGGUCAAUGGGCGCGAGCCUGAACGAGCAAAGUCGCGUGAAGGAUGAAUGCCCUACGGGUUGUAAACUUCUUUUAUAAAGGAAUAAAGUGAGGAACGUGUGCCUUUUAGUCUGUACUUUAUGAAUAAGGAUCGGCUAACGCCGUGUCAGCACCCGCGGUAAUACGGAGGCUCCGAGCGUUAUCCGGAUUUAGUUGGUUUAAAGGUAGAGUAGAUGGGUUGUUAAGUCAUUUGUGAAAGUUUGCGGCUUAACCGUAAAAUUGCAAUUGAUACUGGCAGUCUUGAGUACAGUUGAGGUAGGCGGAAUUCGUGGUGUAGCGGUGAAAUGCUUAGAUAUCACGAAGAACUCCGAUUGCGAAGGCAGCUCUCUAACCUGCCACUGACAUUGAUGCUCGAAAGUGUGGGUAUCAAACAGGAUUAGAUACCCUGGUAGUC
This 460-nucleotide ribosomal RNA is filed under the name uncultured bacterium. RNAcentral describes it as "partial 16S ribosomal RNA". It matches the Rfam family "Bacterial small subunit ribosomal RNA", at positions 338 to 795 of the family's 1533-position model. The record is from RNAcentral.